AUUGAACGCUGGCGGCAGGCUUGACACAUGCAAGUCGAGCGGGGUGAUGGUGCUUGCACUAUCACUUAGCGGCGGACGGGUGAGUAAUGCUUAGGAAUCUGCCUAUUAGUGGGGGACAACAUCUCGAAAGGGAUGCUAAUACCGCAUACGUCCUACGGGAGAAAGCAGGGGAUCACUUGUGACCUUGCGCUAAUAGAUGAGACUAAGUCGGAUUAGCUAGUUGGUGGGGUAAAGGCCUACCAAGGCGACGAUCUGUAGCGGGUCUGAGAGGAUGAUCCGCCACACUGGGACUGAGACACGGCCCAGACUCCUACGGGAGGCAGCAGUGGGGAAUAUUGGACAAUGGGGGGAACCCUGAUCCAGCCAUGCCGCGUGUGUGAAGAAGGCCUUAUGGUUGUAAAGCACUUUAAGCGAGGAGGAGGCUCUUUUGGUUAAUACCCAGAAUGAGUGGACGUUACUCGCAGAAUAAGCACCGGCUAACUCUGUGCCAGCAGCCGCAGUAA
RNAcentral lists this ribosomal RNA (503 nucleotides) under uncultured bacterium. Its description in RNAcentral is "partial 16S ribosomal RNA". It matches the Rfam family "Bacterial small subunit ribosomal RNA", at positions 30 to 523 of the family's 1533-position model. The record is from RNAcentral.